ACGGCUCAGUAACACGUGGACAACCUACCCUCCGGACGGGGAUAAACCCGGGAAACUGGGUAUAAUACCCGAUAGAUCUCGACUGCUGGAAUGCAUCGAGAUCGAAAGCUCCGGCGCCGGAGGAUGGGUCUGCGGCCUAUCAGGUAGUAGUGGGUGUAGCGUACCUACUAGCCUACGACGGGUACGGGUUGUGAGAGCAAGAGCCCGGAGAUGGAUUCUGAGACACGAAUCCAGGCCCUACGGGGUGCAGCAGGCGCGAAAACUUUACAAUGCCGGCAACGGCGAUUAGGGGACCUCGAGUGCCAGGUUACAAAUCUGGCUGUCGUGAUGCCUAAAAAGCAUUGCAAAGCAAGGGCCGGGCAAGACCGGUGCCAGCCGCCGCGGUAACACCGGCGGCUCGAGUGGUAACCGUUAUUAUUGGGUCUAAAGGGUCUGUAGCCGGCCGGAUAAGUCUCUUGGGAAAUCCAGCAGCUCAACUGUUGGGCUUUCAGGAGAUACUGUCUGGCUCGAGGCCGGGAGAGGUGAGAGGUACUUCAGGGGUAGGGGUGAAAUCUUGUAAUCCUUGAAGGACCACCAGUGGCGAAGGCGUCUCACCAGAACGGACCUGACGGCAAGGGACGAAAGCUAGGGGCACGAAUCGGAUUAGAUACCCGGGUAGUCCUAGCCGUAAACGAUACUCGCUAGGUGUCGGCCACGGUGCGACCGUUGUCGGUGCCGUAGGGAAGCCGUGAAGCGAGCCACCUGGGAAGUACGGCCGCAAGGCUGAAACUUAAAGGAAUUGGCGGGGGAGCAC
RNAcentral lists this ribosomal RNA (793 nucleotides) under uncultured archaeon. Its description in RNAcentral is "bacterial SSU rRNA". It matches the Rfam family "Archaeal small subunit ribosomal RNA", at positions 85 to 879 of the family's 1478-position model. The record is from RNAcentral.